This 262-nucleotide small RNA is filed under the name Pogona vitticeps (central bearded dragon). RNAcentral's name for it is "7SK RNA (ENSPVIG00000005280.1)". It matches the Rfam family "7SK RNA". From Rfam's summary of the family: 7SK was discovered as an abundant small nuclear RNA in the mid-70s but a possible function has only recently been suggested. Two independent studies have found that 7SK RNA binds the CDK9/cyclin T complex (known as elongation factor P-TEFb). Lineage: Eukaryota; Metazoa; Chordata; Lepidosauria; Squamata; Agamidae. The record is from Rfam by way of RNAcentral.
GGAUGGGAAGGUGAUCUGGCUGUGACUUUUGUUAUGCUGCUGAUCACAAGGAUUGAUUUGGCUGCUCUGGCUGGCUAGUCAGGAGCCCUUUCCUCCCUCAUUGCUCCAUAUUCAUCUCUUCUGAAGCUGCAUGCAUGGUGGAACAGGACAACCAUCUUCAGUAGGACGAAUAUUUAAGAGUACUCAAUGUAUGCAUUAAAACAGAGAGGUAUGUUCACAUUUAGGCAUCUAAGUAAAUUGUUGUCAGCCACAGUUAUUACUU